ACUCAAGAAAAGAAUCUUAGUCCAACCUAAAGCUUUACUUCUUCCCCCACAAGAAAUUCUACUUUAGAGCAAUUCAAGUAAGGUACAGCUUAUUUGAUACAGGACACAACCUCACACAACGGCUAAUAUACACUACCAUUAAACUAAGUAGGCUUAAGAGCAGCCAUCUUAAAAGAGCGUCAAAGCCUAAUUUCUACUAUACCUAAUUCCACAGCCUAUGCAGAACCCUUCAUCAAUAUUGAGUAAUUCUAUACAACCCUAUAGAAAUUUUUAUGUUAAAACUAGUAACAAGAAGACACUUCUCUUUUAAUGCAAGCAUAAAUCAAACUGGAUAAUCCACUGAUAAUCAUACACUACAGCAGAAAAAUUUUCCCACCACGAAAACCCUGCCUUAUUAACUGUUAAACUGACACAAGAGCAUUUCAAGAAAGAUUAAAAGAAAAAGAAGGAACUCGGCAAAUAUUGAUUCCGCCUGUUUACCAAAAACAUCGCCUCUUGAAUAAGUAUAAGAGGUCCAGCCUGCCCAGUGACAUUAGUUCAACGGCCGCGGUAUUCUGACCGUGCGAAGGUAGCGUAAUCACUCGUCUUUUAAAUAAGGACUAGUAUGAAAGGCAUCACGAGAAUCAAACUGUCUCCUUUUUCUAAUCUGUGAAACUAAUCUCCCCGUGAAAAAGCGGGAAUUAUCAUAUAAGACGAGAAGACCCUAUGGAGCUUUAGACAAAGCAAUAAAUGCUCUAUUUUCUUAUCCUAAGAAAAACUAAUCAGCACAUUAUAUCUUAGUCUUCGGUUGGGGCGACCACGGAGUAAAACCCACCCUCCACGCUGAAUAGGACCUCCUUAAACAGAGAGCAACAGCUCAAUGCAUCAAUAAAUUGACAACACUUGACCCAAUAUUUGAUCAACGAAACAAGUUACCCUAGGGAUAACAGCGCAAUCCACUUCAAGAGCCCUUAUUGACAAGUGGGUUUACGACCUCGAUGUUGGAUCAGGGUACCCCAGUGGUGUAACCGCUACUAAAGGUUUGUUUGUUCAACAAUUAAAACCCUACGUGAUCUGAGU
This 1059-nucleotide ribosomal RNA is filed under the name Ischnocnema hoehnei (Hoehn's robber frog). Its description in RNAcentral is "partial 16S ribosomal RNA". It matches the Rfam family "Bacterial large subunit ribosomal RNA", at positions 1218 to 2610 of the family's 2925-position model. Lineage: Eukaryota; Metazoa; Chordata; Amphibia; Anura; Brachycephalidae. The record is from RNAcentral.